RNAcentral lists this ribosomal RNA (440 nucleotides) under uncultured bacterium. RNAcentral's name for it is "partial 16S ribosomal RNA". It matches the Rfam family "Bacterial small subunit ribosomal RNA", at positions 338 to 795 of the family's 1533-position model. The record is from RNAcentral.
CCUACGGGGUGCAGCAGUGGGGAAUAUUGCACAAUGGGGGAAACCCUGAUGCAGCGACGCCGCGUGAGUGAAGAAGUAUCUCGGUACGUAAAGCUCUAUUAGCAGGGAAGAUAAUGACGGUACCUGACCAAGAAGCACCGGCUAACUACGUGCCAGCAGCCGCGGUAAUACGUAGGGGGCAAGCGUUAUCCGGAUUGACUGGGUGUAAAGGGAGCGUAGACGGGAGCACAAGUCUGGAGUGAAAUCCCAGGGCUUAACCCCGGAACUGCAUUGGAAACUGUGCGUCUAGAGUGCAGGAGGGGUAAGCGGAAUUCCUAGUGUAGCGGUGAAAUGCGUAGAGAUUAGGAGGAACACUGGUGGCGAAGGCGGCUUACUGGACUGUAACUGACGUUGAGGCGCGAAAGCGUGGGGAGCAAACAGGAUUAGAUACCCUGGUAGUC